This 253-nucleotide ribosomal RNA is filed under the name uncultured bacterium. RNAcentral's name for it is "partial 16S ribosomal RNA". It matches the Rfam family "Bacterial small subunit ribosomal RNA", at positions 524 to 776 of the family's 1533-position model. The record is from RNAcentral.
UACGAAGGGGGCUAGCGUUGUUCGGAAUUACUGGGCGUAAAGCGCACGUAGGCGGAUAUUUAAGUCAGGGGUGAAAUCCCAGAGCUCAACUCUGGAACUGCCUUUGAUACUGGGUAUCUUGAGUAUGGAAGAGGUGAGUGGAAUUGCGAGUGUAGAGGUGAAAUUCGUAGAUAUUCGCAGGAACACCAGUGGCGAAGGCGGCUCACUGGUCCAUAACUGACGCUGAGGUGCGAAAGCGUGGGGAGCAAACAGG